RNAcentral lists this long non-coding RNA (880 nucleotides) under Erythranthe guttata (spotted monkey flower). RNAcentral describes it as "long non-coding RNA (EGUT_LNC002534)". The record is from RNAcentral. Lineage: Eukaryota; Viridiplantae; Streptophyta; Magnoliopsida; Lamiales; Phrymaceae.
GAGAGGCUAUCAGGUCGGCUUCCUCAAGCUAACCAUGAAGCGGGGUGAUUGAAAUUCACUAGAGUAGCAAACACGACAACUACAAACACAUUAUGCCCUGCAAAAAAAGUAGGAUCGACAAGUAAUUAUUACAUAUACUGAACAUUUUGAAUAAAAACAUAGGAAAUAAAUUAUAAAGAAUUUACAGCCACUCACAGUUAAGAGUUUACAUUCAUAAAGAAGAGGUGGAAUAGAAGACCACACCAUGAAUCAAAAAUGGGAACCGAAUUGCAAUGGUUAUCAUUAAUCCAAUAAAUAAAAUGCUCCAAAAGCCAUAGAAAGGCACACCUGUUUUAAAUUAUAAUAUUAAAAUCAUUGGAAAAAAUGGCAAAACUAUCAAUAUUAAGUUGACUAGAUGAGCAUAUUAUAAAAAUGAAAAAUAACAAAACAUCAUACAAGUUCUCCUACACUUAUAGUUCGUGGACUAGUCCCCAAUUCAUUAAGCAAAGUACUCACCGGAAAUAUUUCUGCAUUUUGAAUCUGUGCAAUUUGCUUAUAAUUUCGGCAAAGUAGCUACACAAGACAAGAGAAGACAACAGAGAAGAUAAAAUUCAUAUUUGAUCCGUAAAAGAAAAUCAGCCGCACAUGAUAAAAUACUUGUUAUAUUUUUAUAAAUUUUACGAGCCAACACAAAAUCUUAACCAAAAUUGCUCAACAAAAUGACUCUAGGCGAAAGGAUAAAUCACUCCUAUGAGAAGAAUCGGUUUCUCACGGUCGUCACGUCAUAUUAGAAGAACUAUAUGAAAAUUCAACAAUUUUCACACAAAUCCAUAAGCAAUUGGACUCUAAAAUAUAUUAGAAUCAUAAAACCCAUACUUAACCAAACAAGAACACUCACAAC